GAGUUUGAUCAUGGCUCAGGAUGAACGCUGGCGGCGUGCUUAACACAUGCAAGUCGAACGGGGCUCAUUGGAACAAGUCUUCGGACAAGGGAAUUUGAGCUUAGUGGCGGACGGGUGAGUAACGCGUGAGCAACCUGCCUUCGAGUGGGGGACAACAGUUGGAAACGACUGCUAAUACCGCAUAACAUAUCGUACCGGCAUCGGUGUGAUAUCAAAGGAGCAAUCCGCUUGAAGAUGGGCUCGCGUCUGAUUAGGUAGUUGGUGAGGUAACGGCCCACCAAGCCUGCGAUCAGUAGCCGGGUUGAGAGAUCGAUCGGCCACAUUGGGACUGAGAUACGGCCCAGACUCCUACGGGAGGCAGCAGUGGGGAAUAUUGGGCAAUGGGCGAAAGCCUGACCCAGCAACGCCGCGUGAGGGAAGAAGGCUUUCGGGUUGUAAACCUCUUUGACAGGGGAAGAUAAUGACGGUACCCUGAAAACAAGCUCCGGCUAACUACGUGCCAGCAGCCGCGGUGAUACGUAGGGAGCAAGCGUUAUCCGGAAUUACUGGGUGUAAAGGGCGCGUAGGCGGGAUUGCAAGUCAGAUGUGAAAUACCGGGGCUUAACUCCGGGGCUGCAUUUGAAACUGUAGUUCUUGAGUGAUGGAGAGGCAGACGGAAUUCCCGGUGUAGCGGUGGAAUGCGUAGAUAUCGGGAGGAACACCAGUGGCGAAGGCGGUCUGCUGGACAUUAACUGACGCUGAGGCGCGAAAGCGUGGGGAGCAAACAGGAUUAGAUACCCUGGUAGUCCACGCUGUAAACGAUGGAUACUAGGUGUGCGGGGACUGACCCUCUGCGUGCCGCAGUAAACACAAUAAGUAUCCCACCUGGGGAGUACGGUCGCAAGACUGAAACUCAAAGGAAUUGACGGGGCCCCGCACAAGCAGUGGAUUAUGUGGAUUAAUUCGUCGCAACGCGAAGAACCUUACCAGGGCUUGACAUCCUGCUAACGAAGUAGAAAUACAUUAGGUGCCCUUCGGGGAAAGCAGAGACAGGUAGUGCAUGGUUGUCGUCAGCUCGUGUCGUGAGAUGUUGGGUUAAGUCCCGCAACGAGCGCAACCCUUAUUGCCAGUUGCUACGAAAGAGCACUCUGGCGAGACUGCCGUUGAUAAAACGGAGGAAGGUGGGGACGAUGUCAAAUCAUCAUGCUCCUUACGUUCUGGGCUUCACACGUAAUACAAUGGUGGUAUAACAGAGGGGUGCAAAGCCGCGAGGCAGAGCAAAUCCCUAAAAGCCAUCCCAGUUCGGAUUGCAGGCUGCAACCCGCCUGCAUGAAGUUGGAAUUGCUAGUAAUCGCGGAUCAGAAUGCCGCGGUGAAUACGUUCCCGGGGCUUGUACACACCGCCCGUCACACCAUGAGAGUCGGGAACACCCGAAGUCAGUAGUCUAACCGAAAGGGGGACGCUGCCGAAGGUGGGUUCGAUAAUUGGGGUGAAGUCGUAACAAGGUA
This 1487-nucleotide ribosomal RNA is filed under the name uncultured bacterium. RNAcentral's name for it is "16S ribosomal RNA". It matches the Rfam family "Bacterial small subunit ribosomal RNA". The record is from RNAcentral.